CUGCCAGUUGUGAGGGUGGCUAGACACUGUCUGGGAGACCUCAGGUCCCAUGGCUCUGGGAGCCAUCCCAUCUUGUGGGCCCAAACAGGCUAACCCCACUGGUAAUAUCCAGGCACUUGGGCGGCAGAGAAGGGGGAGUUUCUAGGAGCCUCCCCCAAGAGGGAAGAACAAAAAGGAAGGAGCCUAGCCUGGUCCUUUCCCCUUUGGUCCCAGGAGGCAGAUCCAGGACUCAAGGGGAGAUAUGGAGGGGCUGGCAUCUGUGAUCCCAGUAGCCUGCUGGCCAGAUCCCAGGCCUCCCAGACCUUCUAUUUAUCCCCCUCCCCCAGAUACACAUGCUGGUGCUGGACAGCUGGGCUGUGGCGGAAGUUUACAUACAAAGGGUUUGCUGGGCCAUCUCGGUACACACAGCUUCACUUCCUUCUGAGGCACAACCCGUGUCUGAGCUGCUGCCAUGGGGGUCCUGGGGGCCACAGAGGCCAUGGGGCAGGUUGGGAGGGUCUGCUCCCAGCCUCCCAGACCCUGCCACUCCUGCCUGUCCCCAGGCCCUGAUGACCUCUUAUCCUUCUGUGCCCUGCAGAUCCCCACAGUCAGAACUCAGGCACACUGGGCCUGCUGGCAGAGGAUGUUGGACCCAAAUCCAAUCCAUGUGUGAGUUGUUCCCAGGGAAGUGACGUGCCACGCUGCUUCACCCCAGCCUUGGGCCGCCGGGCUUGACAUGCUCAACUGGGGCAACGGAGCAAAUUCCCAGAACAAGUUUUGAGAAAGAUGAUUCAGAGCUUUGCAGAGGAUGAGGAAAGGGGAGAGCUUGCGGAUCCUUGCUGCCACCAGGACUGGCCUGGGGGCACGUGGCAGGCAGAGGCAGGCUCAGGUGCACAGGGAGCCUGGGUGUUGGGGCUCAGGGUCUGCUCUGAGCGCCCCAGUGGGCACAGCUCAGGUUGAUCUCUGAGGGCAAAUGAUGAGAGCUAAAAGGCAGCAGUGUGAGUGCCAAGAAUGUGUGCUAGGCACAGCACAUGCAUGAUCCUGUAUGAACGACAAGGAGAACAGGGACACAGGUGGACGGCACUGAGGCUACCUGCCGAGAUGUGGUGCCUGGGAGGUAGAGCCAGAACCUGACACAGUCCCACUGCUUUUUCAAGGAGAUGCAGUGAGAAAGCAAAGGCAGGGUCUUGGCAGGACCAGGUGUGAGAGGAGGCAAGGCCUCCUUGUGGUCCUGCUCCCAGGGGGUGGCAUGUAUCCCAGGCCCAGCAGCCUCCACUGUGGCCUCCCCGGCUGCUGCCUGCUCCAACUCACUCGGGGCUGCUCUGGGGACCCAGGUGCUUCCUGACCCACUUUUCCUCUUUCCUUUUGACCCCAGGUCCAAACUCUGCCCUGUCAAUCAUCCCAGGGGCUCCUAGGCUUCCCUACCUGACUACUUCACUGGGGCCAAACCCCGCAGACAAUCGUGGCUUAGGGCUGUCUGCCUCUGCACUUGGCCCAUGGACUACCUGGCAGCCAACAUUUGCCCUGGAGAAGCCUUAUGGCAAACACCAGGCACCAAGGUGCACAUCCCUGAUGGAUCCUGGGAUCAGUUGACACUCAAUCCACCUGCCUUCUGGGUCCUCUGGGCCCUCUGGGUCCAUGUGGCAGCUGGAGGUAUGGUAGACACUUUUUAAAAAAUGAGUUCUGGUAAGAAGAAGGUGAUAAAUGGCUAUUUGUCCACGUUGGGACCCGGAGGGGAGGGAUGGCAUGCCCUUACAUGGGACUCCUACCCCCAGCGGGGCAGCUGGCCACUCUGAGGGCAGUUUUGCACCUGCCUCCUGGCUGGAAAGUGAGUUCCCACUGUGCUGUCCCUCCCUGGGGCCCAGCACGGGGCCCGGCCCCACACCGACCUGAAGAGGUUGGUAGGAUGACUGAAUGAAUUGACGCUGGGAUGCAGCAGGGCCCAUGGGCAGAGGCUCCAGAGCCUGGGAAGGAUGGGGUGGCCUUUCUGUGGCCCUCCGAAUUGAGAGAGGUCUCAGAGGCCUGACACCACGGCUUUCCGUCCAGGGUUCCUGGUCACCCGCGGAGGGCUCAGAGCCCCGGUGGACUCGGGGUCCCGCCUUAAGGGGGGUGCCUAGGGCAGAAGGAGGAGGGAUGUCGGCCCCCUCAGACCCGCACCCCAGGCCCUCCCCACCACCUUUCCUUCCCUCAGGCCCUCUGUCUUCCCAGUCGCCCCGCCCC
This 2199-nucleotide long non-coding RNA is filed under the name Homo sapiens (human). RNAcentral's name for it is "HSALNT0340572". Lineage: Eukaryota; Metazoa; Chordata; Mammalia; Primates; Hominidae. The record is from RNAcentral.